UCUUGGUCAUUUAGAGGAAGUAAAAGUCGUAACAAGGUUUCCGUAGGUGAACCUGCGGAAGGAUCAUUACCGAACUGUCGACAGGAGCUGUUGCUGGCCCUCGGAAGGGGGCACGUGCACGCUCUGUUUACACAUCCACUCACACCUGUGCACCCUCUGUAGUUCUAUGGCCUUGGGGACCCCGUCCCCUUGCCGUGGUCCUACGUCUUUACACACACACCGUAACAAAGUAUCAUGGAAUGUAUGUCGCGUUUAACGCAAUACAAUACAACUUUCAGCAACGGAUCUCUUGGCUCUCGCAUCGAUGAAGAACGCAGCGAAAUGCGAUAAGUAAUGUGAAUUGCAGAAUUCAGUGAAUCAUCGAAUCUUUGAACGCACCUUGCGCCCUUUGGCUAUUCUGAAGGGCAUGCCUGUUUGAGUAUCAUGAACACCUCAACUCUCAUGGUCCGCCAUGAUGAGCUUGGACUUUGGGGGUCUUGCCGGCCUAGCGUCGGCUCCUCUCAAAUGGAUCAGCUUCCCAGUGUUUGGUGGCGUCACAGGUGUGAUAACUAUCUACGCUUGUGGUUUUCCGCCAUUAACCUUCAGCAAUGGAGGUUCGCUGGAGCUCACAGAUGUCUCUCCUUGGGGAGGACGGCUUCUUGAAUGUCUGACUC
RNAcentral lists this ribosomal RNA (653 nucleotides) under uncultured Tomentella. RNAcentral's name for it is "eukaryotic LSU rRNA". The stretch from base 270 to 424 matches the Rfam family "5.8S ribosomal RNA". Lineage: Eukaryota; Fungi; Basidiomycota; Agaricomycetes; Thelephorales; Thelephoraceae. The record is from RNAcentral.